GGCUAAGCCAUGGGAGUCGUACGCCCCGCCGCUGCGGGGCGUGGCGGACGGCUGAGUAACACGUGGCUAACCUACCCUCGGGAGGGGGAUAACACCGGGAAACUGGUGCUAAUCCCCCAUAGAGGAGGGGGCCUGGAAGGGUCCCUCCUCGAAAAGGUGUGGCGGGGGUUAACGCUGCCGCACCGCCCGAGGAUGGGGCUACGGCCCAUUAGGUAGUUGGCGGGGUAACGGCCCGCCAAGCCGAUAAUGGGUAGGGGCCGUGAGAGCGGGAGCCCCCAGAUGGGCACUGAGACAAGGGCCCAGGCCCUACGGGGCGCACCAGGCGCGAAACCUCCGCAAUGCGGGAAACCGUGACGGGGCCACCCCGAGUGCCCCCUUACGGGGGCUUUUCCCCGCUGUAGGAAGGCGGGGGAAUAAGCGGGGGGCAAGUCUGGUGUCAGCCGCCGCGGUAAUACCAGCCCCGCGAGUGGUCGGGACGAUUAUUGGGCCUAAAGCGCCCGUAGCCGGCUCGACAAGUCUCCUCCUAAAUCCUCGGGCUCAACCCGAGGAUUGGAGGAGAUACUGUCGAGCUAGGGGGUGGGAGAGGCCGAGGGUACUCCCGGGGUAGGGGCGAAAUCCUAUAAUCCCGGGAGGACCACCAGUGGCGAAGGCGCUCGGCUGGAACACGCCCGACGGUGAGGGGCGAAAGCCGGGGGAGCGAACCGGAUUAGAUACCCGGGUAGUCCCGGCUGUAAACGAUGCGGGCUAGGUGUUGGGUGGGCCUAGAGCCCACCCAGUGCCGCAGGGAAGCCGUUAAGCCCGCCGCCUGGGGAGUACGGCCGCAAGGCUGAAACUCAAAGGAAUUGGCGGGGGAGCACCACAAGGGGUGGAGCCUGCGGUUCAAUU
Molecule: ribosomal RNA, 885 nt
Filed under: uncultured crenarchaeote
Lineage: Archaea; Thermoproteati; Thermoproteota
Description: bacterial SSU rRNA
Rfam family: Archaeal small subunit ribosomal RNA
Source: RNAcentral